RNAcentral lists this ribosomal RNA (464 nucleotides) under uncultured bacterium. Its description in RNAcentral is "partial 16S ribosomal RNA". It matches the Rfam family "Bacterial small subunit ribosomal RNA", at positions 339 to 795 of the family's 1533-position model. The record is from RNAcentral.
CUACGGGUCGCUGCAGUGGGGAAUAUUGCACAAUGGGCGCAAGCCUGAUGCAGCCAUGCCGCGUGUAUGAAGAAGGCCUUCGGGUUGUAAAGUACUUUCAGCGGGGAGGAAGGGAGUAAAGUUAAUACCUUUGCUCAUUGACGUUACCCGCAGAAGAAGCACCGGCUAACUCCGUGCCAGCAGCCGCGGUAAUACGGAGGGUGCAAGCGUUAAUCGGAAUUACUGGGCGUAAAGCGCACGCAGGCGGGUUGUUAAGUCAGAUGUGAAAUCCCCGGGCUCAACCUGGGAACUGCAUCUGAUACUGGCAAGCUUGAGUCUCGUAGAGGGGGGUAGAAUUCCAGGUGUAGCGGUGAAAUGCGUAGAGAUCUGGAGGAAUACCGGUGGCGAAGGCGGUCCCCUGGACGAAGACUGACGCUCAGGUGCGAAAGCGUGGGGAGCAAACAGGAUUAGAUACCCCCGUAGUC